Magnolia sinica is the source of this 402-nucleotide long non-coding RNA. RefSeq lists it as uncharacterized. The record is from RefSeq and is a predicted model, not a curated record. The transcript has 3 exons. NCBI's taxonomy places the organism in Eukaryota, Viridiplantae, Streptophyta, Magnoliopsida, Magnoliales, Magnoliaceae.
GGAGGAUGAGAAGAGAUUGCCAAGUGCCAUCCAGCAAACCACUGAUAAUGAAAGAGAAGAGAGAAGAAAAUGAGCGGAGUGCACCAGUCUACCGAACUGCUGGUCGAAAAUAGUUCAGGGCAAGAGAACAUGUUCUGAUCUUAAGAUUACCUUAGGCCUUUGACCUUACUAAUAGCCGAUCAAAGAACUAAAGAUGAUACAGGUGACGUACAGGUUGAGGAUCCAGAGGAUCAUCUCCCGAUGGAAGACUACACUGAUUGAAUAAAGAUAAUAGUUUUAUGAAUUUGGUUUUAUUUAUAUUUACACUAGAAAAACUCUAUGAUGUAAUAGGCUCCCAUUGUGAGAGCAUUUGGUAAUUAGUUGAACUUCAUUCAAAUAGAAUAAUAAAUAUGGUUGAUUUUA